UCGCCUGUUUAACAAAAACAUGGCCUUUUGUUAUUUUAUAUAAGGUCUAACCUGCCCAAUGAUUUUUAAAUGGCCGCGGUAUCCUAACCGUGCGAAGGUAGCAUAAUCAUUUGUCUCUUAAUUAGAGGCUGGAAUGAAUGGUUGGACGAGAUAUACACUUUCUUUGGUAUAUUUUUAUGAAUUUUAUUUUUAAGUCAAAAAGCUUAAAUUUUUUUAUAGGACGAGAAGACCCUAUAGAACUUUAUAUAUUCUAUAUAAAUAACCUAUUUUGAUUAUUAUCUAGUUAUUUUUAUAAACUAUAUUUUGUUGGGGCGACAGGGAGAUUUUUUUAACUCUUUUUUUUUAAUUCACUGAUUAGUGUUUAUUUGAUCCCACAUUGUGGAUUAUAAGAUUAAGUUACCUUAGGGAUAACAGCGUAAUUUCUUUGGAGAGUCCUUAUCGAUAAAGAAGUUUGCGACCUCGAUGUGGGAUUAAAA
RNAcentral lists this ribosomal RNA (476 nucleotides) under Horvathinia pelocoroides. RNAcentral describes it as "partial 16S ribosomal RNA". It matches the Rfam family "Bacterial large subunit ribosomal RNA", at positions 1796 to 2542 of the family's 2925-position model. Lineage: Eukaryota; Metazoa; Arthropoda; Insecta; Hemiptera; Belostomatidae. The record is from RNAcentral.